This 71-nucleotide transfer RNA is filed under the name Bos taurus (domestic cattle). It matches the Rfam family "tRNA". Rfam says of the family: Transfer RNA (tRNA) molecules are approximately 80 nucleotides in length. Their secondary structure includes four short double-helical elements and three loops (D, anti-codon, and T loops). Further hydrogen bonds mediate the characteristic L-shaped molecular structure. tRNAs have two regions of fundamental functional importance: the anti-codon, which is responsible for specific mRNA codon recognition, and the 3' end, to which the tRNAs corresponding amino acid is attached (by aminoacyl-tRNA synthetases). tRNAs cope with the degeneracy of the genetic code in two manners: having more than one tRNA (with a specific anti-codon) for a particular amino acid; and 'wobble' base-pairing, i.e. permitting non-standard base-pairing at the 3rd anti-codon position. Lineage: Eukaryota; Metazoa; Chordata; Mammalia; Artiodactyla; Bovidae. The record is from Rfam by way of RNAcentral. RNAcentral also lists the same sequence under 2 other names.
UUUUUAUUGCUCAGAUGGUAAAGAAUCUGUCUGCAGUGCAGAAGACCCAGGUUCAAUCCCUGGAUCGGGAA